AUUUACAAUGAGAACUUCGACUUAUAACAGUUUUGUUCUAAUAGAGGAAUGAUGUACAGGUUUUUAGUUAAAUUUUCAUUUUUACUGAUUUUGUCACUUUUUGUUUUGUCAACCAGCGCUAGUGAUGGACUAAACUUUUGGGAUGCGAUGAAACAGCUUGAUGAGAUGAAUCGGGAAAUUUUACAGCAAAGAUCCUUUCACCAAAAAGAUACUGUAAAAAAAGUUUCAUCCACAACGCUGUUACAAGAACCAAACACACUACAUUCAACAACUCUCGGCUUUGACGAUAAAGUUACAACGAGUGAGACGGCUACAGUUCAUGACAAAUCACAAACGGAAAAAGUAAGCGCACGCCCGACUACAGAACAUGGGACUCAUGGGCCAAAAAUUAUUAGACAGAGUGAAGCAAUGAAACCUACUACCAGCAUAGAGUCUUCUAGUUUGUCACAUUUAACGUUUAGUACGGACUCCAAAUUGAAACCAAAUAUUUCAAGUACCCAUACUAAUUCAGUGCAUAAUACUAACGCGAAAAAGUUAACUUUUACCGUCAUGGAUGAACAAUUUUCUCGUGAUAUAUUGCUGUAUGCGGGUGUUGCAUGUGGUUCGGUUUUAGCAUGUAUUUGUAUUUUAAUACUGGUGAUACUUCGUCGCAAAAGAAGAGAAAGUCACAAAGAAAAACAUUUAGAAAAAAGAUUUUCUGCAACAGAUCAAAGAACGUACAAGGACACUAAGAUUUUUGUGAUGAGCAAAACAGAACAGGGAAACAGUAUUAUAAAUUCUUUCGACGCAAUACCAACUGAUACUAAUUUGUGGAAAGAAUUACAGAGUAGCACACCUAACGUUUUUUGAUAUGGAGGGAUUUAAGUUAUACUGUCGUUCAAAGUGAAGAAAAAAGAAUAUGCCAUAUAAUCGUUCUUUUAUAGCUUUCUAAACGGUAUUGGUUUUGCUCAUUAUUGAAGACCGUACGGUGACCUAUAGUUGUUUAUAUCCUAGUCACCCGUCACUGAUGGAUAGUUGUCUAAUUGGAAAUCAUACCACAUUUCAUUAUUAUUGUCAUGGUCAAUACUGCAGAAGUUUAUUUAAAUAUAUACAAUACGUCUACAAACUAUAUAUAUAUACACGACAAACGGUAAUGAUAAAAUACAUUUUAUAUCAACUUUACGUUUAACGAAAGUAUUAGCUUUCCGUUGCGUGUUUACAUUUUUUACAUGAUUUCUAUAUUUUGUGUGGUAGGAUGAGACCAAUUUUACAGGCUGAUCUUAGUUUUAUUCUUACUCAAAGCAAAUAAGUGUGAUGUUAGAAAAUCAUGUAGGCCCCUAAAUCCUUACUUAUUUUUAUGUUUGUUGGUUUAAUCCAUGUUAUAAUAUCUUACUCGAUAUUGUAUUGUGAAUGUGUACUGAAAUGUUUUUAUUGGCUGUUUUAUGUGAUUUUAUUACAAUUGUUAUCAAUAUAAAAGUUUACAUUAAAUGUUAAAAACCCUGUUUAUUUUUAGAAUAAAAUGUUUUACCUGUU
Long non-coding RNA from Mytilus californianus (California mussel), 1512 nucleotides. RefSeq lists it as uncharacterized. The record is from RefSeq and is a predicted model, not a curated record. Lineage: Eukaryota; Metazoa; Mollusca; Bivalvia; Mytilida; Mytilidae. The transcript has 2 exons.